GCUACUAGCCAACACUCCUUCAAGCAAACAAUUCAGCAGCAACCUACCUCCAUUCAUUCUUUACUCACCUGUAUUUGUUAAAGUAGCAACCUUAUUUCAGUUCAUCUCAUACAAAUCAACAACAACAGCCAUCAACAACAAACAAUUACAGGUAUAUACUACUAUCUCAGUUUAUUUUCUCAAUUUAUUCAAGCCACAUACACUGUCAUAAUACCCAAGCAUAGAACAUGGAUAUCAACAUGAAUCUUGUUAACAUCAUUCACCUUAGCAACUAGAAGCUUAAACAGGAAACGAGUAUAUAUAUAUGCACACAGGGACUUAGCAAUCGAAAUCAGUUUAUGCUAUAUUUUCUUAUCACACGAGGCAAGACAGGAAAAAUUACUUGAUACAUUAGCAAAAUCACAGUGCCUAGUUUUAAUCUCUAGCAUAACCGAUAUGUAUAUAUAUAGAGAGAUCAAGAGUAUUACAUCUCACUGUUUCAGAAAAGAAAAUAGCAAUAACACUUAUGGGAUUCAUAGAGUAUUAGAUACCACAAGAAUUCCUUUUACACAAAAAUUGGGGAUCGAACUUAGCUUUUGGGGGAAAGGGAUUGUACCUGUUUCAAUAAACGAGGAGGAGGGCGACUGCCCCUUGGCGGUGGCGGUGGCAGCCUCUGGCUUGCUACCUGCCGGACGAAAACAAUGAGGGGAGCACGGAGACCUCGCCGAUUCUUCAGUGGCGGCGACGGCUGAUUUCUGAGGAAGAAGAGCAGGGGCUCGAGUACGGAGCAGCUUCCAACGACGUUACAGGGAGGCGGUAGUUCCCAAUAGAGGAGGCGGAGCGUCGAGCAACAGCCUUACCAAUUUUAGGGCAAAGGCAGCGCGACGCCAACGGCGACUCCCGCCGGUUCACAGAGCAGCGGCAGACGAAGUGCAGCAGGCCGCGACUCCGGCGAAACAGCAGCAGUCGGCACUGACCACCGGACGAACAGCAGCAACUCCAGCCGGCGGCGACUCCAGGCGAAGCAGCAGCCACUCCCAGACGAC
This 1025-nucleotide long non-coding RNA is filed under the name Salvia miltiorrhiza (redroot sage). RNAcentral describes it as "long non-coding RNA (SMIL_LNC000478)". The record is from RNAcentral. Lineage: Eukaryota; Viridiplantae; Streptophyta; Magnoliopsida; Lamiales; Lamiaceae.